GUUGAGGUCAGGAAAGCGAUUCCGCUCCCUGAAGACCAACACAGAGAGACUGAGGAGGAGCUUCUUCCCGCAGGCGAUACGGUCUCUCAAUCACACCACCACACAGUACUGACCCACACAUAUGGUUCUUACACACACACUGGACUUUCUGGACUUUGGUUUUGCACAACACUGGUCACUAUAUUCUUCAUUUCCAGUUAAUACUUGUACAGCUGCUGUUAUUGUGUAUAUAUUUAUUUAUAUUUAGAUUUCUUCAUACAUUCUUAUAUAGUUCUAUAUUGUGUAUUGUGUAUUUUGUUGUACAGUUAUUUUAUUUUCAACUUUAAUUUAUAUAUUUUAUCUUAUUCUUCCCAGUUAAAUUUACCCUUCAUUCUAAUUUGUGUUGUACAGUUAUUUCAUUUUUAACCUUAAUUUAUAUUUUAUUCCUUCCUAGUUAAAUUUACCCUUUUUAAUUUUUCAUAUUUAUUUCCUAUCUUAUUCAUAGCCUUUCCUUUUUUUGUUUUCUUUAGGUCACGAGCAGUUGUCCAAGCAUUUCACUACAUAUCGUACUGUGUAUGACUGUGUACGUGACAAAUAAAAAAAUUUGAAAUUUGAAUUUGAGAUUUAUCAAGGGCUCACCAGUAUUUAAGGUACAAAAUCUCUCUUGUCUGGUUUUAUUGUAUUAUUUUAUUCUAGUCUUUGAUUUUAUUUCUUUCUUUUUUCAUUUUUUUUUUAAACACAGUUAAUAGUGUUAACACCAAAAUAAAAUCAGGGAAGAGAGAGAGAGGAAGACAGACAGCAGCAGGAGGCUUGUGUUAACAUUUACUUCUAAGCAGCUCCAGCCUGUCUUCAGUAGAACAUUUACACUGUAUUGAAAUCAUCCCAAACGCUGUGGCAGCUUAUUUUAGCUUGGCAGCACUUAUCUCAUAGAAGGUAAUUUUUAGUAAGAUGAUGUGUCUCUUAUCUGUACGUUUGGAGCACUGGAUUCUCAGAGUCCUGUGAUUUAAUAUUCACAACACAGACGGGCAUAAAUGCUUCUAAUCCGACCCGGGAGUUCUCUUUGCUUUCAGAAAAUGAACAUAAAUAUUCAGGUCGCUGAUUCAGUGAUUAAGAAAUAUUAGAGUGGCUGACAAAAACACUGGAGCACUAUAUGUUUUCAGGAUUGCAAAAACCAGCCUCGAACUUGCUUCUUAUUUGUGGGAGUUGAUCUUUUUCAUGGCUAGUCCCUCUUACAGAGAUGUUAUUUCCCCAUAUCUUCUAUUCAGGUUUUGAAUGUAUGCUUGGAAAAAGCUAGCCUAUCUAAGACAGGCAUCUCGGAAGAAAGACAGCAUAUAUUAUAUCCUCUAAAUUUGCCCCUUUAUAUUCACAUCUUCUCUUAGCUCUUUGCAUAUGCCUUCA
Astatotilapia calliptera (eastern happy) is the source of this 1377-nucleotide long non-coding RNA. The record is from Ensembl. NCBI's taxonomy places the organism in Eukaryota, Metazoa, Chordata, Actinopteri, Cichliformes, Cichlidae.